RNAcentral lists this ribosomal RNA (478 nucleotides) under uncultured bacterium. RNAcentral describes it as "partial 16S ribosomal RNA". It matches the Rfam family "Bacterial small subunit ribosomal RNA", at positions 28 to 523 of the family's 1533-position model. The record is from RNAcentral.
GACGAACGCUGGCGGCGUGCUUAACACAUGCAAGUCGAACGGUAAGGCCCUUCGGGGUACACGAGUGGCGAACGGGUGAGUAACACGUGGGCGAUCUGCCCUGCACUUCGGGAUAAGCCUGGGAAACUGGGUCUAAUACCGGAUAGGACCACUGCCUGCAUGGGUGGUGGUGGAAAGCUUUUGCGGUGUGGGAUGGGCCCGCGGCCUAUCAGCUUGUUGGUGGGGUGAUGGCCUACCAAGGCGACGACGGGUAGCCGGCCUGAGAGGGUGACCGGCCACACGGGGACUGAGAUACGGCCCAGGCUCCGAGGGGAGGCAGCAGUGGGGAAUAUUGCACAAUGGGCGCAAGCCUGAUGCAGCGACGCCGCGUGAGGGAUGACGGCCUUCGGGUUGUAAACCUCUUUCAGCACCGACGAAGCGCAAGUGACGGUAGGUGCAGAAGAAGGACCGGCCAACUACGUGCCAGCCGCCGCCGUAA